GUCUCUUCGGGGAUGAUUAAACCGGCGCACGGGUGAGUAACACGUGAGUGACCUGCCUUUUAGACUGGAACAACUUACCGAAAGGUGAGCUAAUGCCGGAUGAGUUAUAUAAGUGCAUGUUUAUAUAGGAAAAGUUGGGGAGACCUGACGCUGAAAGAUGGACUCGCGUCCCAUUAGCUAGUUGGUAGGGUAAUGGCCUACCAAGGCGACGAUGGGUAGCCGGCCUGAGAGGGUGGCCGGCCACACUGGGACUGAGACACGGCCCAGACUCCUACGGGAGGCAGCAGUGGGGAAUUUUGCGCAAUGCUCGUAAGAGUGACGCAGCGACGCCGCGUGAAUGACGAAGGCCUUCGGGUCGUAAAGUUCUUUCGACAGGGAAGAAAAUGCCUAUAAGUAACUGUGUAUGUAUUGACGGUACCUGUAUAAGCAGCCCCGGCUAACUCCGUGCCAGCAGCCGCGGUAAUGCGGAGGGGGCGAGCGUUGUUCGGAGUGACUGGGCGUAAAGAGCACGUAGGCGGUGUUGUAAGUCAUUAGUCAAAGACUAGAGCUCAACUUUAGUAAGGCUAGUGAUACUAUAAUACUAGAGUAUCAGAGAGGAUUGCAGAAUUCCUGGUGUAGCGGUGAAAUGCGUAGAUAUCAGGAGGAAUACCGUU
RNAcentral lists this ribosomal RNA (653 nucleotides) under uncultured bacterium. RNAcentral describes it as "bacterial SSU rRNA". It matches the Rfam family "Bacterial small subunit ribosomal RNA", at positions 74 to 713 of the family's 1533-position model. The record is from RNAcentral.